RNAcentral lists this ribosomal RNA (470 nucleotides) under Vibrissea filisporia. RNAcentral's name for it is "eukaryotic LSU rRNA". The stretch from base 177 to 330 matches the Rfam family "5.8S ribosomal RNA". Lineage: Eukaryota; Fungi; Ascomycota; Leotiomycetes; Helotiales; Vibrisseaceae. The record is from RNAcentral.
AGGAUCAUUACCAGUGAAGUGCCCGCGCCCUCGUGGCCGGGUGCCCACCCACCCGUGUUUACAUACUCUUGUUGCUUUGGCAGGCCGUGCUCUGCACUGCGGGCUCUGCUCGUGUGUGCCUGCCAGAGGACCAAACUCUGAAUGUUAGUGAUGUCUGAGUACUAUAUAAUAGUUAAAACUUUCAACAACGGAUCUCUUGGUUCUGGCAUCGAUGAAGAACGCAGCGAAAUGCGAUAAGUAAUGUGAAUUGCAGAAUUCAGUGAAUCAUCGAAUCUUUGAACGCACAUUGCGCCCUGUGGUAUUCCGCAGGGCAUGCCUGUUCGAGCGUCAUUAUAACCAAUCAUGCCUGGCAUGGUGUUGGGGCACGCGGUCUCGCGGCCCUCAAAAGCAGUGGCGGCGCCGGUAGUCUCUAAGUGUACCAAUUGACUCCUUAUAAAAACCGGAGGGUUCCGUAGGGAACCUGCGGAUAG